This 305-nucleotide ribosomal RNA is filed under the name uncultured bacterium. RNAcentral describes it as "bacterial SSU rRNA". It matches the Rfam family "Bacterial small subunit ribosomal RNA", at positions 337 to 641 of the family's 1533-position model. The record is from RNAcentral.
CCCUACGGGACGCAGCAGUGAGGAGUAUUGGUCAAUGGGCGAGAGCCUGAACCAGCCAAGUCGCGUGAGGGAGUACUGCCCUAUGGGUUGUAAACCUCUUUUGUCGGGGAGCAAAAGCCGGACGUGUCCGGCUGUGAGAGUACCCGAAGAAAAAGCAUCGGCUAACUCCGUGCCAGCAGCCGCGGUAAUACGGAGGAUGCGAGCGUUAUCCGGAUUUAUUGGGUUUAAAGGGUGCGUAGGCGGAGUGUCAAGUCAGCGGUAAAAUUUCGGGGCUCAACCCCGUCGUGCCGUUGAAACUGACACCC